RNAcentral lists this long non-coding RNA (932 nucleotides) under Homo sapiens (human). RNAcentral describes it as "HSALNT0068341". The record is from RNAcentral. Lineage: Eukaryota; Metazoa; Chordata; Mammalia; Primates; Hominidae.
UCACGCCUUAAAGACCUUACUACAAAAUGCUUCUGGCAAAUAGAUGUCAAAUGCUCGCAUCUUGCAGUAUCGAAGUUUACUGUUAGAUCAGCCUCGUUUGACUUUCUCUCCCACAAAGUGUUUCAAUCCAGCUACACUACUUUCUGACUCAGACUGCACUAUUCCUGCUCAUGACUGUCAAGAACUGUUAGAAACUAUCGAAACUGGCCGAUCUGAUCUUCAAGCUGUGCCCCUAGAAAAGGCAGAUGCCGCCUUGUUCACAGACAGUAGCAGCUUCCUCAAGCAGGAAGUAUGAAAAGUCAGUGCAGCUGUUACCACGGAGACAGAUGUGUUGUAAGCUCAAGCUUUACCAGCGAACACCUCAGCACAAAAGGCUCAAUUCAUCGCCCUCACUCAGGCUCUCUGAUAAAGUACAAGAUAUUAUCCUGCCACUUGUUUGAGGAGCCCUUCCCAAUCCAAUUCCUGACCAGAAAAAGUCCUGCCAUUCAUUCCAGCCAGGAGACCUAGCAUUUGUUAAAAAGUUCCAAAAAGAAAGACUCACUCCUGCUUAGAAAAGACCUCACACCGUCAUCCUCACGACUCCAACUGCUCUGAAAAUCCUUCUUAGAAAUUCCUAAGGCUCAAUGCUGUGUGGAAGAUUCUAAGAAAGAAAAUAGUUUCCGAUCUUUGGGAUUCCCCUGAGAUGGUCCAAUCUGCAAAAAGUUCAUUGCCAUUUCCAUCAAGGACACUGAGAAAAAGAGUCUUAUCCGGAUUGGAUCCUGGAAAUUGAGAAGCUUCAACAAGUGGGAAAUGCACCCUCCACAGGCUCACACCCUUGUGGGCUAUUUCAGUUACCUAUUGCACCUAAAAUUAGAAACUUUAAACCACCACAAGUCAUUAUUGCUCAUGACCAUGUGAGUUGCAUGGGGACUUCCUGUCUGGUUUAACUUGGG